GAGGGGGGAAGGGCAAGGAGAUUGUCAGCCCCUUUGAUGAUUCCGGCUGUGAAAGCCUUCGACAAUACACCCAGCAUCUUAUUUUUAUUCCAUUUUAAAAGUUUUAUAAGCCCACCUUUCUCCCGACGUGUCCUGGUGCCAAGGACGCCGUGCCGACAAGACGACCUCACGCUUGCACAAACCCCCGACGACCAAGCCCGUUCUUUCUUCUCAACGCUGACAAUAACAUUUUUUUGUACAGAACCCCCGAAAACCCAGCAGAACCUUCCGCGGCUUGUAUAUAUUUUGCGUUUCUGCUUAUCUGUCUUAGAAUUAGGAUCACGGAGCUGCUACAAUAAACCAAGAGAGUCCGUCUGACGCAAAAUGA
Molecule: long non-coding RNA, 367 nt
Organism: Sphaerodactylus townsendi
Lineage: Eukaryota; Metazoa; Chordata; Lepidosauria; Squamata; Sphaerodactylidae
Exons: 2
Source: RefSeq, a predicted model, not a curated record